This 397-nucleotide ribosomal RNA is filed under the name uncultured bacterium. RNAcentral's name for it is "partial 16S ribosomal RNA". It matches the Rfam family "Bacterial small subunit ribosomal RNA", at positions 523 to 918 of the family's 1533-position model. The record is from RNAcentral.
AUACGUAGGUGACAAGCGUUAUCCGGAUUUACUGGGCGUAAAGGGCGUGUAGGCGGUCUUGCAAGUCAGAAGUGAAAUUCCUGAGCUCAACUCGGGCGCUGCUUCUGAAACUGCAGGACUUGAGUGCUGGAGGGGAUAGCGGAAUUCCUAGUGGAGCGGUAAAAUGCGCAGAUAUUAGGAAGAACACCGGUGGCGAAGGCGGCUAUCUGGACAGUAACUGACGCUGAGGCGCGAAAGCGUGGGGAGCAAACAGGAUUAGAUACCCUGGUAGUCCACACUGUAAACGAUGAAUGCUAGGUGUAGGGGGUAUCGACCCCUUCUGUGCCGCAGUUAACACAAUAAGCAUUCCGCCUGGGGAGUACGGCCGCAAGGUUGAAACUUAAAGGAAUUGACGGGG